This 301-nucleotide ribosomal RNA is filed under the name uncultured bacterium. Its description in RNAcentral is "partial 16S ribosomal RNA". It matches the Rfam family "Bacterial small subunit ribosomal RNA", at positions 509 to 807 of the family's 1533-position model. The record is from RNAcentral.
CAGUCGCCACGGUAAAACGGAGGGGGCUAGCGUUGUUCGGAAUUACUGGGCGUAAAGCGCACGUAGGCGGCUUGGUAAGUUAGAGGUGAAAGCCUGGAGCUCAACUCCAGAAUUGCCUUUAAGACUUCCGAGCUAGCAGGUGAGAGAGGUAAGUGGAAUUCCGAGUGUAGAGGUGAAAUUUGUAGAUAUUCGGAAGAACACCAGUGGCGAAGGCGGCUUACUGGCUCAUACUGGACGCUGAGGUGCGAAAGCGUGGGGAGCAAACAGGAUUAGAUACCCCCGUAGUCCCUGUCUCUUAUAC